CCUCCGCCGGGGUCCGAGUUGUAAUUUGUAGAGGCUGUUUCGGGUACGGCCCCGGUCUAAGUUCCUUGGAACAGGACGUCAUGGAGGGUGAGAAUCCCGUGUGUGACCGGGGACCACGCCCAUGUGAAACACCUUCGACGAGUCGAGUUGUUUGGGAAUGCAGCUCAAAAUGGGUGGUAAAUUUCAUCUAAAGCUAAAUACCGGCCAGAGACCGAUAGCGCACAAGUAGAGUGAUCGAAAGAUGAAAAGCACUUUGGAAAGAGAGUUAAAAAGCAUGUGAAAUUGUUGAAAGGGAAGCGGAAGCAACCAGACUCGCUGCCGGGUGCUCAACCGGGGUUCUCCCCGGGGCAUUCGCCCGGCCUCGGGCCAGCAUCGGUUCGGACGGCCGGACAAAGGCUCCGGGAAUGUAGCUCCCUCGCGGGGGAGUGUUAUAGCCCGGGGUGGAAUGUGGCCAGCCCGGACCGAGGAACGCGCGUUUCGCACGGAUGCUGGCGUAAUGGUUGUUCCCGGCCCGUCUUGAAACACGGACCAAGGAGUCUAACAUCUAUGCGAGUAUUUGGGUGUCAAACCCACAUGCGGAAUGAAAGUGAACGGAGGUGAGAGCUCGCACGGGCGCAUCAUCGACCGAUCCUGAUGUCUUCGGAUGGAUUUGAGUAAGAGCAUAGCUGUUGGGACCCGAAAGAUGGUGAACUAUGCCUAACUAGGGUGAAGCCAGAGGAAACUCUGGUGGAGGCUCGCAGCGGUUCUGACGUGCAAAUCGAUCGUCAAAGUUGGGUAUAGGGGCGAAAGACUAAUCGAACCAUCACCACUGCUAGGUGGUUAAGAGGCGGGGCCGGGCCCCGGGGUGCCACCCCGGAGCCGCCCGCUUAGUUCCUCGACACGAGGGGCAACACCGUCAAAUUGCGGGGACCUCCCGGGCCGCACUGCCCGGGACGAUCCGCAGCGAACCCCUCCGGGCCCGCCCCGGAGGGACAGUCCACAGGCUAGACGACGGUGGUGCCGCCGCGCACUUGAGGGAUAGUCGACCCGGCGUCACCGCCCCGGGCACGUGUAUAUG
Molecule: ribosomal RNA, 1057 nt
Filed under: Sphinctrina turbinata
Lineage: Eukaryota; Fungi; Ascomycota; Eurotiomycetes; Mycocaliciales; Sphinctrinaceae
Description: LSU rRNA
Rfam family: Eukaryotic large subunit ribosomal RNA
Source: RNAcentral